GAUGAACGCUGGCGGCGUGCCUAAUACAUGCAAGUCGAGCGAACGGACGAUAAGCUUGCUUCUCUGAUGUUAGCGGCGGACGGGUGAGUAACACGUGGAUAACCUACCUAUAAGACUGGGAUAACUUCGGGAAACCGGAGCUAAUACCGGAUAAUAUUUUGAACCGCAUGGUUCAAAAGUGAAAGACGGUCUUGCUGUCACUUAUAGAUGGAUCCGCGCUGCAUUAGCUAGUUGGUAAGGUAACGGCUUACCAAGGCAACGAUGCAUAGCCGACCUGAGAGGGUGAUCGGCCACACUGGAACUGAGACACGGUCCAGACUCCUACGGGAGGCAGCAGUAGGGAAUCUUCCGCAAUGGGCGAAAGCCUGACGGAGCAACGCCGCGUGAGUGAUGAAGGUCUUCGGAUCGUAAAACUCUGUUAUUAGGGAAGAACAUAUGUGUAAGUAACUGUGCACAUCUUGACGGUACCUAAUCAGGAAGCCACGGCUAACUACGUG
This 497-nucleotide ribosomal RNA is filed under the name uncultured bacterium. RNAcentral describes it as "partial 16S ribosomal RNA". It matches the Rfam family "Bacterial small subunit ribosomal RNA", at positions 28 to 507 of the family's 1533-position model. The record is from RNAcentral.